Anas platyrhynchos (mallard) is the source of this 3316-nucleotide non-coding RNA. Lineage: Eukaryota; Metazoa; Chordata; Aves; Anseriformes; Anatidae. The record is from RefSeq and is a predicted model, not a curated record.
CUGAAACCCUCAGAAAGAAAAUGUCUGGUCUCCUAUAUAAUUUACAAUAUUUAAAGUAUUGUUUAAUGAUUAAUAUGAUAUGAAAUUUACUGUUGGAUAAAUGAGUUUUGAAGAUUAGAACUUGGAGGAGAAAUGCCCCAUUUUAUGGAUCUUGUUAGUAAGCAGUUCUGGAAAUGUUUAUGUACUCUUUGAAGAGUCCACUUAGAAGAGCAACAGCUUUUCCUUUUGGCUGCAGUUGCUGAGAGUCUCUCCAGAUGCAAGAAUGUCAUUAUUUCAGGUCAAACAGAAACAGUGUUACUUCCAGCAUUUACCGUGUCCGGGAAACCUGCUGAUGGCUGGUUUGGAGUGAUUCUGUGGUCAUACAGGAAGCGCUUCAGUGAUGCAGUGGUGUCUGUUAAGAUAGACUUUCAGUCACUUUAGAAGAAUUGACUUCAGAAUUUUUCUUGGUUAUAGUGGGAGAGAAUGUGUCCCUUACUACAACAAACAGGUGAAAUAUUUUUUUUUUCUUUUUUUCAUUUAAAAGUAAAGUAAGUGUGUGCUUCUACGAGAAGUAAGUGUGCUUCUACAAGAUAUAUUCUGAAGUUCAAGCUAUUAUUGUGUGACUUAACUAUCUGUGUAAACCUUAUUUUCUUAUAUCCAUGUAAGAUGUCCUCUGUAUUUUACAUAUAUUUUAUCGUUAUUUGAUUACAGUGAAGAGAUGUCAAAAGGUAAUUCAUUCACUCAAAUGUGGUACCAGAUAGUUGUUAUAUAAAGUGUAUCCAUUGUUUUUCAAGUGUCUUUGUCUUACUUGUUCAUAUGGUUGGUCUUUAUUAUCUUCCAAUUCAAUGAGUACUGUGAAUUAAUAUAAACUUAAUAUAGGGGAAAAAAAAAUAAAUACCUAAGGGUUUUUCACCCUGCUACCACAUAGAGCACACACAGUUUGAAGGGGCAGCAUUUCAAUCUUGGCCGAGUAACCUUUCCUAGCUCUUCACUCAAGUGGUUCUUCCUCUUCCUUCUAUCAUAUUAGGCAGAAACCAAGCACUGGGAACUGAUUUGUGUGGGUUCUAGUAGAUUCUUCCCUUGAUUACCUGAUCUACUGGCAACUUCUCUUGCUUACUCGAGAGAGUUUCCUGAGCAUCCAAGGUAGAUAUCAGAUAGCUGGAUCUAAAUCUCUUCCAUGGAAGAACUCUGACAUUAAGAAAAUUAAAAUGUUUUAGUCAUACAACAUUAAAACUGUUGUUUGACAUUUAAAGAGUUGUUUGGUGGAGAUUUUCUACUGGAUUGAGGUUGCCUUGUGAAUAGUAUUUGAAAGGAAAAUCUGCGAGAGUAUUCUAGAAGUUUCUUUCAGGAAGUUAAAAACAAGAAAAUUAAGUAUGUCUGAUAAUUAUUUACACUGAAUGCUUUGAUUGUAAUUCUUGAUGCUUCCCAGAACUUCCAAAGCACAAAAAUUGAAUGGAAAAAGCUUGGUGAUUUGAGGUUUCAGGGUAGUAGUAGCGUUGUUGGUACUGUGAUUAGAAGUAAUGGGAAGCUUGGUAGUUUCAGCAAUUCUAUUCCACACUGCAAUUGAAGAGACAAACCUGAAAAAGUGGGAUUUCUCUCGCUCUUUCUUUUUAUAGAAUGAUAUUGAUAAUAAAAUUUAAAAAUCUUAUUUUAAAAUAACUCUUCAGAUGGGAGGGGGACAGAAAAGGCAACAUAAUUUUUAUAUGAUAGAGAAGGAAAGAGAACACAGGUGAUUUCAAGGUAUUUUCCUUUUAUGUUCUAAGUCCUUACAGCUCACAUUAUUUUCUCUAUUCUUUGUCACAGAAUGGCGAUUACUGUUCCCUUUGUGAAGUAUGUAAAUACUGUAUAUUCUUCGACUUUGUAGCUUCUCUAAUUUGUGUUCUAUUUUAGUUGUAUUUCUGACAUUUUCCUCUUUCCAAUUUAUGUAUCACUUAUUUGGCAUAUAACCAUGGGAAUGCUUUUCUGCUAAAGAUUUUUUCCUUCAAAUUUCUUCUACUCAUACUGUUGUUGAAAUAAGGUGUUUGGAGAUUAAUUUGUACUGGUGCACUUCUUUCGGAAAGGUAAAGAUUCAUGAAGACACAGGGUUUUGUGAUGCUCUACUAAGAACUGGAUGCCUGUCUAGAAAAGGAUCAGCAGAGCUGCAGGAAACUAUUCAGGGCAUGUAAGGGGAUGUCACUUUGCCAUGAGGAAUGAGCCCUAGUUUAGGGUGCUCACAGUCUCUCUUGCAAUCAGGGCAACAGAAGCAGUGGUGGCACGGGGUUGUAUGACAAAGGCAGACAGAUUGGGAAAUAGGGUUGUUUUGUUUUUGUUUUUGUUUUUGUUUUCUUUAGCCUGAGAUGGAAUAUCUGGGUGUAGGCAAGCACUGUGUAAAUUUCCCAGUAUUGCCAGUUACCAGAAGUUUUUUUGCAUGCCGAGUGUAUCAAUAUAGUACCAUCUGUCUACAUUAAUACCAUACCAGUGGUGGUAGAGAGUAACCAAGUCCUGCUUAUUAUAUGUCCAGCUAAUUAUUCUUCCUUGAAUAAAAGCAGUCUCCCCCUGUUUUUGUGGUGCAAAGUUGGGCAGUUUCCUACAGCUACCCAUGCAGUUGUGCAGUAGUAACAACCAGGAGAAAAUACCAAAAGAGAACCUUUGUAGAAGACAGAUUGGAAAAUGGUUUCAGUUAAUGUCAGAAAAGCAAUGGAACUAAAACCAGCUUGACUAAUAAAUUAGUCUGUUUCAAUAGUUUAUUUAUAAAAGUCUUUAAUUUUCACAUAGCAAUAUGUUUUUUUGUUUAAUAACUGUAUUCUUAGUAUGAACAAUUUAAACUCAUAAUAAAUAUUUCAGAAUGCAUUAAUCAAAAUAUUGUUUAGACUCCAACUUCUAAAAUUUGCAAUAUUGUGAUAUUUGAGAAUUUCACAUCAUGACAAAAUUUUCAUGAAGCAGAAAAAAUUAUUUUUUAACCAAAUCUCCAUGUAAGUACUUCUGCUAAUGAAAGAACUUAUAAUGCAAGUCCAGCUAGCCAAGCCAGGUACCAGGGAAUCAGGGUAACAACCAUUUUCUUACGUCCUUGUUCCCCCUGGGCCCAAUCUCUGUGUUAUUCAUUGAGAGUGUGUGGUUCUUAAACUACAUUCAACAAGCUCUUUGUGUGUUUUUUUUUGUGUACAGCUGUUUAUAUUUUCAGAUGCCUGUAUUUUCACAUGAAAAAUACAGACGUGGAAAGCAUUUUAUUACCUAAGCGCUAAGCCGUUCUUUUUUUUUCUGUUGAAUUCAUGCUUACAUAGUCCAGUAGAUAGAGCUUACCCAGUUGAGAUACGUGGUAAUGGAUGCUGAUAAGUUCCUGUGGAACCAAAGAUAGCUG